CAGGACCGUGAAACGCCUUAGCGCCGAUGAUAGUGCGGCAUUCGCCGUGUGAAAGUAGGACACUGCCAGAC
Molecule: ribosomal RNA, 71 nt
Filed under: Paludibacterium purpuratum
Lineage: Bacteria; Pseudomonadati; Pseudomonadota; Betaproteobacteria; Neisseriales; Chromobacteriaceae
Source: RNAcentral